CAAUGCGCAUGCUCAGUAGCACCAAACCUCGUGGUAAAAUGGUAGCAAUGGAGGACAGGAGGCUCACAAAAAGGCUAUAAUGUCUGGAAGAGGUCUAGAACAGAGAUCCUGCGCUUGCUGACCGGCCAUGUAUCGAUCUUACCUUCCCCGGCCAUCUAUAUUUAUUAUUGAGGCUUAGUCAACCAUUGAUUUCAACGCGGAAGGAAAGCAGUGAAACUCUACCUGCAUGGAUUAUUGGUCUGUGAAUCGAUCUAAAGUUUUCUGCACUCCGGAGACUCACAAUUGUUCCGACUUUGUACAUACCCGCUGUCCGUUCCCGCAGGCCACUGGACCGUCCUAGGCCAGACUUUAUUGCAAGCUUUAUUGACAGUUGACUUUCAGCUUAUAAUACCUGUACAAUAAUGUUGUUUCUUAUAUUUUAUUUUAAGAGAUUUUUGCUGUCAACCCACA
Amphimedon queenslandica is the source of this 450-nucleotide long non-coding RNA. RefSeq lists it as uncharacterized. The transcript has 2 exons. The record is from RefSeq and is a predicted model, not a curated record. NCBI's taxonomy places the organism in Eukaryota, Metazoa, Porifera, Demospongiae, Haplosclerida, Niphatidae.